This 359-nucleotide ribosomal RNA is filed under the name uncultured bacterium. RNAcentral describes it as "bacterial SSU rRNA". It matches the Rfam family "Bacterial small subunit ribosomal RNA", at positions 29 to 418 of the family's 1533-position model. The record is from RNAcentral.
AACGAACGCUGGCGGCAGGCCUAACACAUGCAAGUCGAACGCUCCGCAAGGGGAGUGGCAGACGGGUGAGUAACACGUGGGAAUCUUCCUGUUGGUACGGAAUAGCUCAGGGAAACUUGGGGUAAUACCGUAUAAGCCCGAGAGGGGAAAGAUUUAUCGCCGACAGAUGAGCCCGCGUCUGAUUAGCUAGUUGGUGAGGUAAUGGCUCACCAAGGCGACGAUCAGUAGCUGGCUGAGAGGAUGACCAGCCACACUGGGACUGAGACACGGCCCAGACUCCUACGGGAGGCAGCAGUGGGGAAUAUUGGACAAUGGGCGCAAGCCUGAUCCAGCCAUGCCGCGUGAGGGAUGACGGCCUU